AUGGCUCAGGACGAACGCUGGCGGCGUGCCUAAUACAUGCAAGUCGAACGGUCUUUCUAUGGAAGCUUGCUUCCACUGAAAAGAUAGUGGCGAACGGGUGAGUAACACGUGGGUAACCUGCCCAUAAGAGGGGGAUAACAUCCGGAAACGGGUGCUAAUACCGCAUAGUUUUCUUGAUCGCAUGAUCGGAAAGGAAAGACGGCCUUUGUGCUGUCGCUUAUGGAUGGACCCGCGGCGUAUUAGUUAGUUGGUGAGGUAACGGCUCACCAAGACGAUGAUACGUAGCCGACCUGAGAGGGUGAUCAGCCACAUUGGGACUGAGACACGGCCCAAACUCCUACGGGAGGCAGCAGUAGGGAAUCUUCCGCAAUGGACGAAAGUCUGACGGAGCAACGCCGCGUGAGUGAAGAAAAGGUUUUCGGAUCGUAAAACUCUGUUGUCAGAGAAGAACAAGUUGGAGAGUAACUGCUCCAGCCUUGACGGUAUCUGACCAGAAAGCCACGGCUAACUACGUGCCAGCCGCUGC
RNAcentral lists this ribosomal RNA (526 nucleotides) under uncultured bacterium. RNAcentral describes it as "bacterial SSU rRNA". It matches the Rfam family "Bacterial small subunit ribosomal RNA", at positions 19 to 518 of the family's 1533-position model. The record is from RNAcentral.